GCCGCGUGAAGACAUUAAACAUAUAAUGGGAACGUGUAUGGCUGCAACAAGCAUGAUGAGUGGAAAGAAACAAUCUCGUCCACCGAAAUGGACUACAUGUUUGUGUCCUAUACAAAAAGGAAGCACCGAAUGUGGUUAUUAUGUGAUGAAAUUCAUGUGGGAAAUUGUUUCCAACAACCUAAGCAAAGGAAUG
Long non-coding RNA from Ipomoea nil (Japanese morning glory), 193 nucleotides. RefSeq lists it as uncharacterized. The record is from RefSeq and is a predicted model, not a curated record. The transcript is spliced from 3 exons. NCBI's taxonomy places the organism in Eukaryota, Viridiplantae, Streptophyta, Magnoliopsida, Solanales, Convolvulaceae.